This 73-nucleotide transfer RNA is filed under the name Nitrospirota bacterium. Its description in RNAcentral is "Nitrospirae bacterium (sediment metagenome) tRNA-Thr". It matches the Rfam family "tRNA". Rfam says of the family: Transfer RNA (tRNA) molecules are approximately 80 nucleotides in length. Their secondary structure includes four short double-helical elements and three loops (D, anti-codon, and T loops). Further hydrogen bonds mediate the characteristic L-shaped molecular structure. tRNAs have two regions of fundamental functional importance: the anti-codon, which is responsible for specific mRNA codon recognition, and the 3' end, to which the tRNAs corresponding amino acid is attached (by aminoacyl-tRNA synthetases). tRNAs cope with the degeneracy of the genetic code in two manners: having more than one tRNA (with a specific anti-codon) for a particular amino acid; and 'wobble' base-pairing, i.e. permitting non-standard base-pairing at the 3rd anti-codon position. The record is from RNAcentral. Lineage: Bacteria; Pseudomonadati; Nitrospirota.
GCCACCGUAGCUCAGUCGGUAGAGCAGCUGAUUUGUAAUCAGCUGGUCGGGGGUUCGAAUCCCUUCGGUGGCU